This 67-nucleotide transfer RNA is filed under the name Omoglymmius wukong. RNAcentral's name for it is "tRNA-Phe". Lineage: Eukaryota; Metazoa; Arthropoda; Insecta; Coleoptera; Carabidae. The record is from RNAcentral.
AUUUAAAUAGCUUAUAUAUUAGAGUAUAAUAUUGAAGAUAUUAAGGAAGUAAAAUUAUUUUUAAAUA